This 507-nucleotide ribosomal RNA is filed under the name Colletotrichum gloeosporioides. RNAcentral describes it as "eukaryotic LSU rRNA". The stretch from base 147 to 300 matches the Rfam family "5.8S ribosomal RNA". Lineage: Eukaryota; Fungi; Ascomycota; Sordariomycetes; Glomerellales; Glomerellaceae. The record is from RNAcentral.
GUGACAUACCUAUAACUGUUGCUUCGGCGGGUAGGGUCUCCGUGACCCUCCCGGCCUCCCGCCCCCGGGCGGGUCGGCGCCCGCCGGAGGAUAACCAAACUCUGAUUUAACGACGUUUCUUCUGAGUGGUACAAGCAAAUAAUCAAAACUUUUAACAACGGAUCUCUUGGUUCUGGCAUCGAUGAAGAACGCAGCGAAAUGCGAUAAGUAAUGUGAAUUGCAGAAUUCAGUGAAUCAUCGAAUCUUUGAACGCACAUUGCGCCCGCCAGCAUUCUGGCGGGCAUGCCUGUUCGAGCGUCAUUUCAACCCUCAAGCUCUGCUUGGUGUUGGGGCCCUACAGCUGAUGUAGGCCCUCAAAGGUAGUGGCGGACCCUCCCGGAGCCUCCUUUGCGUAGUAACUUUACGUCUCGCACUGGGAUCCGGAGGGACUCUUGCCGUAAAACCCCCAAUUUUCCAAAGGUUGACCUCGGAUCAGGUAGGAAUACCCGCUGAACUUAAGCAUAUCAA